CCUACGGGGGGCAGCAGUAGGGAAUCUUCCGCAAUGGACGAAAGUCUGACGGAGCAACGCCGCGUGAGUGAAGAAGGCCUUCGGGUCGUAAAGCUCUGUUGUUAGGGAAGAACAAGUACCGGAGUAACUGCCGGUACCUUGACGGUACCUAACCAGAAAGCCACGGCUAACUACGUGCCAGCAGCCGCGGUAAUACGUAGGUGGCAAGCGUUGUCCGGAAUUAUUGGGCGUAAAGCGCGCGCAGGCGGUCUCUUAAGUCUGAUGUGAAAGCCCCCGGCUCAACCGGGGAGGGUCAUUGGAAACUGGGAGACUUGAGUGCAGAAGAGAAGAGCGGAAUUCCACGUGUAGCGGUGAAAUGCGUAGAGAUGUGGAGGAACACCAGUGGCGAAGGCGGCUCUUUGGUCUGUAACUGACGCUGAGGCGCGAAAGCGUGGGGAGCGAACAGGAUUAGAUACCCUUGUAGUC
RNAcentral lists this ribosomal RNA (465 nucleotides) under Salmonella enterica subsp. enterica. RNAcentral describes it as "bacterial SSU rRNA". It matches the Rfam family "Bacterial small subunit ribosomal RNA", at positions 338 to 795 of the family's 1533-position model. Lineage: Bacteria; Pseudomonadati; Pseudomonadota; Gammaproteobacteria; Enterobacterales; Enterobacteriaceae. The record is from RNAcentral.